Molecule: ribosomal RNA, 220 nt
Filed under: uncultured crenarchaeote
Lineage: Archaea; Thermoproteati; Thermoproteota
Description: partial 16S ribosomal RNA
Rfam family: Archaeal small subunit ribosomal RNA
Source: RNAcentral
AACCUCUGCAAUAGGCGAAAGCCUGACAGGGUUAUUCUGAGUGACUUUCGCUAAGAAAGUCUUUUGACAUCUCUAAAAAUGGUGUAGAAUAAGGGGUGGGCAAGUCUGGUGUCAGCCGCCGCGGUAAUACCAGCACCCCGAGUGGUCGGGACGAUUAUUGGGCCUAAAGCAUCCGUAGCCGGUUUUACAAGUCCUCCGUUAAAUCCAACUGCUUAACAGA